GCGCUCGUAGCUCAGGGGAUAGAGCAUAAGCUUGCGGAGCUUGGGGUCGCAGGUUCGAAUCCUGCCGGGCGCACCA
RNAcentral lists this transfer RNA (76 nucleotides) under Candidatus Peregrinibacteria bacterium. RNAcentral describes it as "tRNA-Arg". It matches the Rfam family "tRNA". From Rfam's summary of the family: Transfer RNA (tRNA) molecules are approximately 80 nucleotides in length. Their secondary structure includes four short double-helical elements and three loops (D, anti-codon, and T loops). Further hydrogen bonds mediate the characteristic L-shaped molecular structure. tRNAs have two regions of fundamental functional importance: the anti-codon, which is responsible for specific mRNA codon recognition, and the 3' end, to which the tRNAs corresponding amino acid is attached (by aminoacyl-tRNA synthetases). tRNAs cope with the degeneracy of the genetic code in two manners: having more than one tRNA (with a specific anti-codon) for a particular amino acid; and 'wobble' base-pairing, i.e. permitting non-standard base-pairing at the 3rd anti-codon position. Lineage: Bacteria; Candidatus Peregrinibacteriota. The record is from RNAcentral.